This 317-nucleotide transfer-messenger RNA is filed under the name Clostridia bacterium. RNAcentral describes it as "partial transfer-messenger RNA". It matches the Rfam family "transfer-messenger RNA". Rfam says of the family: Bacterial tmRNA, also known as 10Sa RNA or SsrA, is named for its dual tRNA and mRNA-like properties. Its role is to liberate the mRNA from a stalled ribosome. Lineage: Bacteria; Bacillati; Bacillota; Clostridia. The record is from RNAcentral.
GGGGCGUUAAGCAUACCGAAGGCUCGGCUUCGAAAAAACGGAAACUAAAAAAAUAAACGACAACAAUCAACAAUCAUUCGCUUACGCUGCUUAAUGCGUAGCCGUCAAGCCCCAUUUUCCACGGGUGGGAAUCUUGGCGUCAGAUACGUGGAGAAACGAGUUUGGGUUAGUUACGCACCCAAAAACGGGAUUUAGUAACUUGGGACGAUAGGUCUGUUUGUGAGCGAAACCGUCCGACUUCUGGUCACAAAAUAAGUAUGUAGAAAGACGUUUUUAAUCAUAGUAGGACGCGAGUGCAAGUCUCGCCAUCUCCACCA